GGAAAAGUAAUAGUCAAGUUCAGAAGAAAAUUCCCCUCGAUUGGUUGGGAAUAUGAAGGAGGUGUAGUAAGGUGAAUUGAAAUUUAGCAAAUUUCCUACAACUUUCAUAAAGGGACUUUUGAAAUAGCAGUUUGGAUUUUUGUCAUAAUUGGUCGUUGAAGUUUCUGCCAGCAAGGUUCAAAAGGAGAAAAUUUAGUUAAGCUGAAGUUCAAUGUCCAGAAAAGUUCAGAGACAUUUUUCACGAGGAAGGAGCGAGAUUCAGCCAAAAGU
This 270-nucleotide long non-coding RNA is filed under the name Setaria viridis. RNAcentral describes it as "long non-coding RNA (SVIR_LNC006574)". Lineage: Eukaryota; Viridiplantae; Streptophyta; Magnoliopsida; Poales; Poaceae. The record is from RNAcentral.